GACGAACGCUGGCGGCAUGCCUAAUACAUGCAAGUCGAGCGGAGUUGACGAGAAGCUUGCUUCUCUGAUACUUAGCGGCGGACGGGUGAGUAACACGUAGGCAACCUGCCUUUCAGUUUGGGAUAACUUCCGGAAACGGAUGUUAAUACCGAAUACAUCAUCUUCUGGCAUCAGAGAAUGAGGAAAGACGGCGCAAGCUGUCACUGAGAGAUGGGCCUGCGGCGCAUUAGCUAGUUGGUGGGGUAAUGGCUCACCAAGGCGACGAUGCGUAGACGACCUGAGAGGGUGAACGGCCACACUGGGACUGAGACACGGCCCAGACGCGUACGGGAGGCAGCAGUAGGGAAUAUUCCACAAUGGGCGAAAGCCUGAUGGAGCAAUGCCGCGUGAGUGAUGAAGGUUUUCGGAUCGUAAAGCUCUGUUGCCAGGGAAGAACGUCCGGGUGAGUAACUGCACCCGGAGUGACGGUACCUGAGAAGAAAGCCCCGGCUAACUACGUGCCAGCCGCCGCCGUAA
Molecule: ribosomal RNA, 516 nt
Filed under: uncultured bacterium
Lineage: Bacteria
Description: partial 16S ribosomal RNA
Rfam family: Bacterial small subunit ribosomal RNA
Source: RNAcentral